RNA transcript from Tribolium madens (black flour beetle), 1256 nucleotides. It is a transcript of the gene named DNA repair protein RAD51 homolog 4-like, with no coding region annotated. The record is from RefSeq and is a predicted model, not a curated record. NCBI's taxonomy places the organism in Eukaryota, Metazoa, Arthropoda, Insecta, Coleoptera, Tenebrionidae. The transcript is spliced from 6 exons.
CGAUUUUCCGCGAAAAGUACGUAAAUUAAAUAACUGAAAAUUUUCGCGUGGCUUCGCCUCCGCCUAGCGAAUCGACACAACAAAUCCAAGUCCCAGAAGGGGGCACACCGCCAGCUGCCGCCUUCGAAAGAAAAAUGAGUCGAUUACGGCCGGAAAUUCACCCCUUGCUUACGGAGGAUAUCGUCAAGGCUCUACAAGGGAGGAAAGUGUGGACGGUAAUAGACUUUAUUAAAUUGGACACGCAGGAGAUUAAUAAAAUUGCACGACUCAAUUUCAGAGAAGUGCGAGCAGUAAAAAAUUAUCUCCUGAAAAAGUUUUCAGCCACUCCUCUAAACGGAUUUGAUUUUUAUAAAAAUGUUCUCAAAAAUACUGCCAUUAUCCCAACAGAAAUCAAAGGGGUGGACCAAUUGCUAAACGGGGGAUUAUUUACUGGAAAUAUUUACGAGUUAUGUGGGCCCCCAACUUCCGGCAAAAGCUAUUUUGUUUUAAAUUUAAUAAAAAAUGUCAUCUUGAAUAUGAAUCAAAAUGUUUACAUUUUCGACAACAAGAACGACUUUUCGGCCAGAAAAAUAAAGAAAAUGUUGAAAAACUGUGAUGAGGACCGACAGAUUAGAAGCUUGAGCAAGAUAAUAGUAAAUCGCUCUUACACCAAAUACGAUUUAAUCAACAGUUUAUACGAAAUAAAAAACGAUUUAGAAAAUAAUAUGAAACUUCGGUUGAUUAUCAUCGAUUCUCUGCCUAGCAUUCUUUUAAAUUCAAACGACUAUGUAACAAAUAAUUCAUAUCUCAAUCAUAUAGUAAACAUUAUGAGAUAUAUUGCAAAUGAACAUCAUAUUGCAUUUUUGGUCACGAAUUUAAUAACAAAAUUUAUUGAUGGUGGAUUCAAUAAGAGUCAACAAGAAAAUUCCGAAAUUAUUAGUUGUGGAAAAUACUGGUCCAAUGUCCCCAACACUCGCCUCAAAAUUGAAAAAACCGAAAACUCAAGAGGAUUUAAAAUUUCCGUUUUAAGUAGUGACACCUUGAACAAAAAAAUGGAUAAUUGUGUGGACGUUAUGCUUACAGAUGAGGGAUUUUUGUGAUGUGCAAAGUGGAAAUCGCUUUUAAUUAAAGUUUAAUUACGUUUGUAACAAGUGGAAUCGACAUUUCUGUUUUAAACUUGCCCAUCUGAUGGCUGACUAGUAUUAUUAUUUUUGGCCUUAAGAUUUAGAGAAAAAAACACUCUUUGCCCCGCCCCCCUUAAUGUCAUUUCGUCAUGU